UGGGGAAUCUUGCACAAUGGGCGAAAGCCUGAUGCAGCGACGCCGCGUGAGCGAUGAAGGCCUUCGGGUUGUAAAGCUCUGUGGGGAGGGACGAAUAUGGCAUGGCUAAUAUCCAUGUCGAUGACGGUACCUCCUUAGCAAGCACCGGCUAACUCUGUGCCAGCAGCCGCGGUAAGACAGAGGGUGCAAACGUUGUUCGGAAUCACUGGGCGUAAAGCGCGUGUAGGCGGCUAUGUAAGUCGGACGUGAAAUCCCACGGCUCAACCGUGGAAGUGCGCUCGAAACUGUGUAGCUUGAGUCCUGGAGAGGAAGACGGAAUACUUGGUGUAGAGGUGAAAUUCGUAGAUAUCAGGUAGAACACCAGUGGCGAAGGCGGUCUUCUGGACAGUGACUGACGCUGAGACGCGAAAGCGUGGGGAGCAAACA
This 426-nucleotide ribosomal RNA is filed under the name uncultured prokaryote. RNAcentral describes it as "bacterial SSU rRNA". It matches the Rfam family "Bacterial small subunit ribosomal RNA", at positions 355 to 774 of the family's 1533-position model. The record is from RNAcentral.